CGGGUGAGUAACACGUGAGUAACCUGCCCUUAACUUCGGGAUAAGCCUGGGAAACCGGGUCUAAUACCGGAUACGACGGACCGCCGCAUGGUGGUCCGUGGAAAGCUUUAUGCGGUUUUGGAUGGACUCGCGGCCUAUCAGCUAGUUGGUUGGGGUAACGGCCCACCAAGGCGACGACGGGUAGCCGGCCUGAGAGGGUGACCGGCCACACUGGGACUGAGACACGGCCCAGACUCCUACGGGAGGCAGCAGUGGGGAAUAUUGCACAAUGGGCGAAAGCCUGAUGCAGCGACGCCGCGUGAGGGACGAAGGCCUUCGGGUUGUAAACCUCUUUCAGCAGGGAAGAAGCGAAAGUGACGGUACCUGCAGAAGAAGCGCCGGCUAACUACGUGCCAGCAGCCGCGGUAAUACGUAGGGCGCAAGCGUUAUCCGGAAUUAUUGGGCGUAAAGAGCUCGUAGGCGGUUUGUCGCGUCUGCUGUGAAAGCCCGGGGCUCAACCCCGGGUCUGCAGUGGGUACGGGCAGACUAGAGUGCAGUAGGGGAGACUGGAAUUCCUGGUGUAGCGGUGAAAUGCGCAGAUAUCAGGAGGAACACCGAUGGCGAAGGCAGGUCUCUGGGCUGUAACUGACGCUGAGGAGCGAAAGCAUGGGGAGCGAACAGGAUUAGAUACCCUGGUAGUCCAUGCCGUAAACG
RNAcentral lists this ribosomal RNA (693 nucleotides) under Arthrobacter sp. B-R2A-4. RNAcentral describes it as "bacterial SSU rRNA". It matches the Rfam family "Bacterial small subunit ribosomal RNA", at positions 103 to 808 of the family's 1533-position model. Lineage: Bacteria; Bacillati; Actinomycetota; Actinomycetes; Micrococcales; Micrococcaceae. The record is from RNAcentral.